GACGAACGCUGGCGGCGUGCUUAACACAUGCAAGUCGAACGGAAAGGCCCUGCUUUUGCGGGGUGCUCGAGUGGCGAACGGGUGAGUAACACGUGAGUAACCUGCCCUUGACUUUGGGACAACUUCAGGAAACUGGGGCUAAUACAGGAUAGGAGCUCCUGCAGCAUGGUGGGGGUCGGAAAGAUUGGGCGGUGGGGGAUGGACGCCCGGCUUAUGAGCUUGUUGGUGGGGUGGUGGCUUACCAAGGCAUUGACGGGUAGCCGGCCUGAGAGGGUGACCGGGCACAUUGGGACUGAGGGAGGGCCCAGACUGCUACGGGAGGCAGCAGUGGGGAAUAUUGCACAAUGGGCGGAAGCCUGAUGCAGCAACGCCGGGUGCGGGAAGACGGCCUUCGGGUUGUAAACCGCUUUCGGCUGUGACGAAGCGUGAGUGACGGUAAUGGGUAAAGAAGCACCGGCUAACUACGUG
Molecule: ribosomal RNA, 468 nt
Filed under: uncultured bacterium
Lineage: Bacteria
Description: partial 16S ribosomal RNA
Rfam family: Bacterial small subunit ribosomal RNA
Source: RNAcentral